ACCGGGAGACCUGGAUAGAGAUCAGCGGGAAACCUAGAAUAUUUCCGCGGUCAGAAAGGCGGAGGUGAACCGUCGGAGAUCCGGUCAGACCAGCUGAGGAGGAGACCGGAGGAGAGCCUCUGUGUGGAUGAGGAGCGGCUGUGCGCCGCCGGCGUCUGGAGGGUUAACUCCAGCCUUCCUGCCUCAGAGGGGUUCGGGGGGCGAGGAGAUAAAGAUGCCGGGGUCGCUGAGCAAUGAAGAGGAGGGACAGGACGACAUGGAUUAUGAAGAGGAGCUGCCAGAUGAGGACGAUGACGGCGAGCGCAGCGCCGUCCCCCUCACACCCCUCGCCAGCUUCUUCUCUGAUGAAGAUUCCCUCAGAGAACAGAAGAGGAAGAAGCCCAAAAAGAUGAGAGAGGGGAAGCUAUCCUCAGUGAAAAAGAGGAAGAAAGAGGCAGGACUCCACAUCCGACUGGACAGUGACCUGGAGACGUCGGAGGUGGAGGACGAGCGGGAGCGCCCGGACAUCGGCUCAGAGAGUGAGAGCAGCACGUAUGUCACCAUGAAGAAGAAGAAGAAGAAACCCCGGGAGAAGAAAGAGAAAAAGCCCCGGAAGAAGAAGAGGGACGGGGAGGAAGACGAGGACGGCGAUGACGACGGGAACAUGAAAGUAAGUCUGACGCCAGACAGACAUCAGCUCAGACGCAGAGCUGCCAGAAAACCUUCCAACUCUGGAGAAACCUGCACUCCACUUUACCUUUAAUCUGAAAUCUA
RNAcentral lists this long non-coding RNA (753 nucleotides) under Oryzias javanicus (javanese ricefish). Its description in RNAcentral is "lncRNA (ENSOJAG00000003964.1)". Lineage: Eukaryota; Metazoa; Chordata; Actinopteri; Beloniformes; Adrianichthyidae. The record is from RNAcentral.